UUGCAGUACUUUCUUAUAGUU
Molecule: non-coding RNA, 21 nt
Filed under: Caenorhabditis elegans
Lineage: Eukaryota; Metazoa; Nematoda; Chromadorea; Rhabditida; Rhabditidae
Source: RNAcentral